Molecule: long non-coding RNA, 698 nt
Organism: Leptopilina boulardi
Lineage: Eukaryota; Metazoa; Arthropoda; Insecta; Hymenoptera; Figitidae
Exons: 2
Source: RefSeq, a predicted model, not a curated record
UAUGGAUAUCCUACCCAGUGGGUAUCCUUAUAGGAUAUCCUUAAUAUCCGAAUGCUAUUAGGGUUACUUUUUGGAAGCCCGCUAGGAGCGUGGCUUAGCAAUAAUUAAAAUUGCACGCAGUAAAAUUUAAAUUAAAAUUUUAAUAAUCUGCUACUAAAAUGUUUUUCCUCGUAAUAAAUAUGUGUAAAUAAAUAAAAUACAGCUUCGAUAUCUCUUUUAUGUUUUUAUAAGAUUUUAUUUUUAUACGGUAUAAACAGGAAAAAUUGAUAUCUUGGUGAUAAUUUUAGAAAUUUGAACAACGCAGUUUUUUUUAUACAUAUAUAGUAGUAUAUAAACCCCGUUAAACCUCCAGCGAAUCAGUUAGUUAAAAAAUGUAUUUUGAAAAAAUUGUAAUCUUUGCACUUUUGUGCAUAUUUGCCUUCACAGUUUCAAUAGUUAGUGGCCAAUGUCAAGGAAGAACUAAACCAUGUGUAUUUGAUUCAGAUUGUUGUAGUAGAAAAUGUAUACAAUAUUCUAGUAGAUGCGUCUAAAAAUUUCCCUUUGGUGAUCCUUUAAUGAAAAACACAUGAAAAUGUAAUCAAAUUUCUAUGAAUACAUAUAUAUAUAUAUAUAUAGAAAGAAUAAAUACUAUUAUCUAUUAAAAUAUUGUAAAAUAUUUAUUGUGAAAUAAAUGUUAAAAUACAUGAAAAAAGAAUUAA